Molecule: long non-coding RNA, 209 nt
Filed under: Lathyrus oleraceus (garden pea)
Lineage: Eukaryota; Viridiplantae; Streptophyta; Magnoliopsida; Fabales; Fabaceae
Description: Pisum sativum (pea) long non-coding RNA (PSAT_LNC011166)
Source: RNAcentral
AAAAAGUCUGCUAAGUUGAAGACCACAAAGGGCAACUUAUGCAAAAAUUAGGGCAUCUCAGUAGGAUAAGAGCUUCAAAGAAGCAUUCAAGGAAAAAUUAGGGAUAAAGAAAAAAAGAAGAAGAGAUCAUCAAACCAUCAACAAAACAAAAAUAAAAUAAGGUGACUGACAUUUUAAGAAAGUAUCUUGAAUCUUCAUCUUAACCAUCA